AUGUGCAUCCCGAAGGAGAAAGGUGGUAUGGGGUUUCGAGAUAUCCAUUGCUUUAACUUGGCCAUGCUUGCCAAGCAAUGCUGGAGGCUAAUUGAAAAUUAUGACUCACUGUGUGCUAAAGUACUUCGUGCAAGAUACUACCCUACUAGUGACAUCCUUAAUAGCACACUAAAGAAAGGAUCUUCUUUUGUUUGGCAGAGCAUAUUUGCUGGGAUCCAAACUUUUAAGAAGGGACACAUUUGGAGAGUUGGUGAUGGCCUCAAGAUAAACAUAUGGGAGGACUGUUAG
Molecule: ribosomal RNA, 288 nt
Filed under: Triticum aestivum (bread wheat)
Lineage: Eukaryota; Viridiplantae; Streptophyta; Magnoliopsida; Poales; Poaceae
Description: partial small subunit ribosomal RNA
Source: RNAcentral